RNAcentral lists this ribosomal RNA (618 nucleotides) under uncultured bacterium. RNAcentral describes it as "bacterial SSU rRNA". It matches the Rfam family "Bacterial small subunit ribosomal RNA", at positions 338 to 948 of the family's 1533-position model. The record is from RNAcentral.
CCUACGGGAGGCAGCAGUGGGGAAUUUUGGACAAUGGGCGCAAGCCUGAUCCAGCAAUGCCGCGUGAGUGAAGAAGGCCUUCGGGUUGUAAAGCUCUUUUGUCAGGGAAGAAACGGUGGGAGCUAAUAUCUCCUACUAAUGACGGUACCUGAAGAAUAAGCACCGGCUAACUACGUGCCAGCAGCCGCGGUAAUACGUAGGGUGCAAGCGUUAAUCGGAAUUACUGGGCGUAAAGCGUGCGCAGGCGGUUUUGUAAGUCUGUCGUGAAAGCCCCGGGCUCAACCUGGGAAUUGCGAUGGAGACUGCAAGGCUUGAAUCUGGCAGAGGGGGGUAGAAUUCCACGUGUAGCAGUGAAAUGCGUAGAGAUGUGGAGGAACACCGAUGGCGAAGGCAGCCCCCUGGGUCAAGAUUGACGCUCAUGCACGAAAGCGUGGGGAGCAAACAGGAUUAGAUACCCUGGUAGUCCACGCCCUAAACGAUGUCUACUAGUUGUCGGGUUUUAAUUAACUUGGUAACGCAGCUAACGCGUGAAGUAGACCGCCUGGGGAGUACGGUCGCAAGNUUAAAACUCAAAUGAAUUGACCGGNNGAGAGNGCGAGACGACGACGAGGGAGGAGG